Long non-coding RNA from Ictalurus punctatus (channel catfish), 819 nucleotides. Lineage: Eukaryota; Metazoa; Chordata; Actinopteri; Siluriformes; Ictaluridae. The record is from Ensembl.
AUGAUGAAGACACUCAUUUUCUCCUCACUUUGUGUCUCGCCCUAUCAGGAACCAUCAGAGGCAAAAAUCUACUCUUGGAUGCAAUUAUUCAUGACCUGGACAAUCUUACAUUAGCAGGAAACAUCAUGUUUUAUCCAAAAACGAAUCACAGUGCAUUAAAGAAAAGUUGGACAUGUAAUAUUUCCAGAGAGUUCUUUGAAGAGCUCAGUGUGGCCCUGCAGAAUGUCAACGUAGAAAAAUUACCUCACAAAAUGAAUACUACUCUGAGAACCGUCAAGGAAGAUCUACAGAACCUCAUGGGUCAUUUCCCACAAGGGCAGAUUUUGACGGGGGGAACCAGACGGUGUAGACGGUGUCCAGGCAAACCUUUGGGUUGCUACAACACAAUCCUACGGUGCCUUAACCUUAACUGCACCUUUAAUAAAAUAGGAAAUUAACUUAUUAUCCUAACUUAUAUACAAUGACUAUUUAUUAUGAACAUGCUAUUUAUUUAAUGUUACGUAUUUAUUUGUAACUUAACCAUUUUAUGUUAUUUAUCUAAAGAGGUACAGGUCUUUAUUGAAUGUAAAAAAAAAUUGUAAUAUUGCAAUUUUUGUCUGGAGUGUAUUGCAACAAUACAUCAUAUAAAAUGUUUACAGACAUAGAAUGGUGAGACUAGACUUUUUAUUUCUAAGGCUUAACUCACCUGACUGUGGUCGCCAUGCAAAAUGAAUUUUAUUAUGACAAGCUACUAUGUUCCUGAUACUGAUUUGAUUCAAUAGAUGAACAAUUCUACAUUAAACGUAAUGCAUGUUGUUUACUUCGGUCACCUGUUAUAAG